RNAcentral lists this long non-coding RNA (1453 nucleotides) under Arabidopsis lyrata. RNAcentral describes it as "long non-coding RNA (ALYR_LNC001423)". Lineage: Eukaryota; Viridiplantae; Streptophyta; Magnoliopsida; Brassicales; Brassicaceae. The record is from RNAcentral.
CCAUUCACAUUAGUUUUCGAGAUUGAAGUGACUUAAAGGUAUCAAAUUUGUGAAAGCCUCGAAUAUGCUCUGUUCCAUUACUUCACAUGCCAAACAGAGCUAACAACAUACUUAUACGACUUUAAAUCUCUUUUCUUCACGUCUCUACCUGCAAAUACACAUCAUUAUAUUGAACCUAUCUUUCUCAAUCCCAAUCAUAUAUUCACAGAAAACUACAAGCAUAACUGAAACAAACUUGGUCACCGUAAAAAAUAUGUCGAAAACAGGGUUUAAUCGGGUUAGUGUUUAGAGGUUACGGUCCCGAACAAAGACGUUGAAGUUCAGUGAGAGAUGGAGAGUCAAGAAAACAUGAGGCUAUAGAAACAAGUCUAAUGGGAACAAAUGGAGAAUAGGCCUUGUACCACUCAUUAUUCUCUAUCUCUAGUUCUCUACAAAAGAAAAAAAAGAAGAGACAAACUUGAAAAAGGAAAUGGGUGAUUCUUAUUCUUUUAAAGAAUCUGAUAAUGCAAAAAAAAAACUUACUGAAAAGGAAGAUUCUCUUUGAGAUUAGGACAGAAUAUUUGUCUUUCCAGAGUUUAACGGUUAUUACAUGACGUUAUAAUAUGCCCAUCUGAGAGAUAAUACAGAGAACCAGAACCACACCAGAGUUAAACAAAAUUUUAAAAUUAAAUAUCAGGAAAUAAAAAGAAAAAGGAGGGACCUUUUGUAUGAGAUUAUAAAAUGGCAAAGCUAAGUUGAUAUACAAAACUAGGCCUCUCUCUUCUACCCUGAAGGAGAUUCGGUAUGUAAAAUGCCGAAAAUUCGAAUUUGUUCCUUUUCUCUAUUGUUGUGUUUAUAGAUGUUUAUGUAACUUUUGAUCAAAGGAGUUUUCAGUGCAACAAUCAGAGAGAUGGCAAGAAAUGAUUGGAUCAACAGUUACCUGGAAGCUAUUCUUGAUGUUGGAACUAGCAACAAAAAGAGGUUUGAGAGCAACUCCAAGAUCGUCCAGAAGCUUGGAGAUAUGAAUAGCAAGGAUCAUCAAGACAAGGUGUUUGGAGAUAUGAAUAGCAAGGAUCAUCAUCAAGAGAAGGUGUUUAGUCCCAUCAAAUAUUUUGUUGAAGAGGUCGUCAACAGUUUCGAUGAGUCUGACCUGUAUAAAACAUGGAUUAAGGUUUGUUUCUCAAUCUGUAUCCUUAUAUUAAAUGGUAUAAAUACAAAAAGAUACGGAGAGAAUAUUGUUCCACAUAAUCUCCCAUAUGUCUGGAAGUGACCGGAGUUAAAAUAGUAAGAACCAAAGAAUGUGGGAGACAUUGUCUAAAACACAAAAUGAUUUUAUUCAAACCAAAACAAAUACAGUUCCACAUAAAUUUAAGUACCUGCGAGUGAUGGUAGAGAGAUCUUUCACUUCUUGUGGCAGGUGAUAGCAACAAGGAAUACUCGUGAACGCAGUAACAGGCUUGAGAAUAUAUGCUGG